This 249-nucleotide ribosomal RNA is filed under the name uncultured bacterium. RNAcentral describes it as "partial 16S ribosomal RNA". It matches the Rfam family "Bacterial small subunit ribosomal RNA", at positions 57 to 305 of the family's 1533-position model. The record is from RNAcentral.
GCAAGUCGAGGGGUAACAUUGGUGCUUGCAUCAGAUGACGACCGGCGCACGGGUGCGUAACGCGUAUACAAUCUACCUUGUACUGAGGAAUAGCCCAGAGAAAUUUGGAUUAAUGCCUCAUAGUAUGUGAAGUUCGCAUGGACAUUACAUUAAAGGUUACGGUACAAGAUGAGUAUGCGUCCUAUUAGCUAGAUGGUGUGGUAACGGCAUACCAUGGCAACGAUAGGUAGGGGCCCUGAGAGGGGGAUC